This is a non-coding RNA of Arachis ipaensis, 1716 nucleotides long. The record is from RefSeq and is a predicted model, not a curated record. Lineage: Eukaryota; Viridiplantae; Streptophyta; Magnoliopsida; Fabales; Fabaceae.
GGCUCCUCAUUUCACACGAUACCUAUCCGCGCCUCCACACCCCUCUCUUCCAAACGCUCCAUCGGCGGCGCCUCUCUGCCUUGCACCGCCGUCGCACUGAACUUCUGUCACACUGAAGCUCCGUCACAUCCCCUCCCGACGCUUCUUCGUGUGUUGCUCGUGUCGCUUCGUAUCGAACCCUAAUAUGCAGAAAUCGCAGAAAUCGCUCCGUUUCGAUCUUGUCUCAACUGUGCAGCCUCUCCUCCUAUUCGCCAUUUUCCAUCGAGCUUUUCUGCAUCUCGUCCGAUUCACCACCUCUCCUCGAAAUUUGCAGCGCGCUGCUGUCGUUUUCCUUCUUGCACUUCUGGAUCUGCUACCACUCAUAGAAUUUCCUGUUCCAGAAUAUCGAGAAUCUAUCCUCAGAUUCGCCCAUGACAAGUCAAGAUCUGUUACCAAGGCUCCUGCCAUGAAGGACAAAUGAGCUCUAUCAGCUGGCGUCUGUUGCCUUCUGCUUGCUUGUAGCCUGAUAAGGCCUUAGAGCUUGGAAUCAUAAACAGCCGCCAUGAAGCCUUCAUCACUUCCAAACUUUGGUGCAACAAUGCUCACCAUGACCUUGUCCUUCUAGCUCUCAAGACCACACUCAAGUGGAAAUGAGCUCAUCAUGGCAACAAGGGAAACUCAGAGAAUUUUACAAGCAGAAAGGAAUCCAUUUGGCUGCAUGGUCACCAUUAGGAUCUUACACAAAAUCAUGGGGUACUAAUUCAGUUAUGGAGAGUCCAAUCAUUAAUGAAAUAGCCACUUCUAGACACAAGAGUGUGCCUCAGGUUUAACCAAGUUGGAAUCUCUGAAUCUGAAGUAGUGUAAUUGCAUAAUAGAUGUCGAUAUGAAACCUCUAUCAGGGCUACAAAAUCUUGCUCUGUUAAAUUUGGAAGGCUGCUUUGUAACAGCUGCAUGCUUGGAUACUCUUGCAGGCGUACACAGCCCCAAUCACGAAGCGCCUAUUGCUGUCAUUCUUCUUUCUUGGAUUAACUGGCAGGUGGAGUGGGACUGUUUCUGCUAUUGUUUCAGAGGGGAGCGCAGUUGGCGCGAGUUUUUCUGCGACUGAAGUCUUCAAAUUGACAAAAUGAAGUGGAAGGAAAUUGUGGAUGAGUGGGUGAGGUUGAAUCAACCGGGUAGAACAGCUUCUCUCAUGGCUGAUGGGGACUCUUCACCGCUGAAAACCACCCAAAACGGGCAUCAUCAGACAUGGCUUAUAGGAAAAUCUCUGAUUGAGUUCCAGUCUACAAAAGGAGAUGUUCUUCCUGCACACAAGAAUCAGAGCCAGUGCUUAGCAGAUCUAUGUGGCGCAUUGCACUGUGACAUUGAAAUCAAUUUUGGGUUGAAAAAAUCAAAAUGUAAUCCUGCUGCCGCUGCAAGAAAUAAACAUCUGUGCGAGGUGUGCAUCAGUCUGUCUUUAGAUCGGAUAUAGUAAGGUCAGAAAGUGGGAAGCAGCGAAUAAUUUUGAUGGACCAAGAAUUUCAAGAAGCAAGUAUAUUGCCAUCAUUACUAAGAAGCUCAAGAAAGAAUGAAGCUAUCCAUAAAUUAGGAUAUUGAAUCUUGAUGAGUCUACUAGUAGUUAUUUGCCAUCUAAUGUAUUUAGAUUGUAUUAUUGCAUGGAAAUAAUUGCUUAUUAUAAAGAAAACAUUUUGUACUCACCAGUGUGUUUUUCUAUUUAUACCAUCAAUAAAAAUUUGUAUU